UUCUUAUUAGUUUAAUGGUAGAACAAGAUAUUCCUAAUAUCCUAAUCUAAGUUCGAGUCUUAGGUAAGAAA
Bipolaris zeicola 26-R-13 is the source of this 71-nucleotide transfer RNA. It matches the Rfam family "tRNA". Rfam says of the family: Transfer RNA (tRNA) molecules are approximately 80 nucleotides in length. Lineage: Eukaryota; Fungi; Ascomycota; Dothideomycetes; Pleosporales; Pleosporaceae. The record is from Rfam.